This 416-nucleotide ribosomal RNA is filed under the name Mycobacterium tuberculosis. RNAcentral's name for it is "bacterial SSU rRNA". It matches the Rfam family "Bacterial small subunit ribosomal RNA", at positions 1 to 422 of the family's 1533-position model. Lineage: Bacteria; Bacillati; Actinomycetota; Actinomycetes; Mycobacteriales; Mycobacteriaceae. The record is from RNAcentral.
GUGAUCGGCCAGAUCAAUCUCUUCAACGUGAGAGUUUGAUCCUGGCUCAGAGCGAACGCUGGCGGCAGGCUUAACACAUGCAAGUCGAGCGGGCCUUUCGGGGUCAGCGGCGGACGGGUGAGUAACGCGUGGGAACGUGCCCUCUGGUUCGGAAUAACUCAGGGAAACUUGAGCUAAUACCGGAUACGCCCUUUUGGGGAAAGGCUUGCUGCCGGAGGAUCGGCCCGCGUCUGAUUAGCUAGUUGGUGAGGUAACGGCUCACCAAGGCGACGAUCAGUAGCUGGUCUGAGAGGAUGAUCAGCCACACUGGGACUGAGACACGGCCCAGACUCCUACGGGAGGCAGCAGUGGGGAAUAUUGGACAAUGGGCGCAAGCCUGAUCCAGCCAUGCCGCGUGAGUGAUGAAGGCCUUAGGG